GGGGGGUGAAGGAGGGAGGAAAUGUCACGCUCGGCGGGAGCGAGGGGACGGAGGGACAGCGAGCAACGCCGGCUGUCAAGCAGAGCAGUUGCCAAGUGAUCUUCUCCACAGCACCCACGAACUUUGGCCUUACACUGAAGAGGACUCAUCAAAUGGUGAGAACCCUGGGAGAUACAACAUAAAAUUGGAAGAGAAGCAUGGAUCUACAUGAAGGGCAGUCCGCUGCAUUCUUGUGUGUGGAGGAACGGGUCCUGCGCUCACUGUUGUUACUCCCACAUAGGCGGACUCUGUAACUGAUUAUAUGUGGGUAGGGCCCUAUUGAAAUUAAGGAGAUCCUACAGUAGUGCGGGGUUCUGUUUGUGUGACCCUACUGUGCCUUCUUACUGUGAAUUCUGUCAGUGUAUCAUGGGUUGUGCUGGAACCUGCCUUUUGGGAUAAUUACCAAAUAAUAUAUUCCUCAAAACUUCUUAAUGGCACUGAGGCUUUGUGGAUAGUUGGUCACAUGAUGAGAAAAUUCAGCUGCCCAUCAAGACUACUUCUACCUGAUACCUUUCGUUCAGUAUCAAGAAGUUGACUCUGAUUUUGAUCAACAUAAGAUGCCAGCUUCCAUCAUUCAGUUGUUAAAUUUUCACACUGGAUACUUUCUCCUCAGCUGCCUCUCGUGUACUGGUUGACUCCUUCAUAAACAGAACUGUUUGCUGUCUUCCUUUAAUAUCUUCUUAAAAGUUUUAUGUACGAUGAAGCUUAUGAUAAUCCAACUAGAAAAUAAGUAUGUUGUCCAUGUAUACUAAUACCAGUGCUUGUCACAGUAAUACUUUGUCAUUGCCUUUGUGCUCUGCAGUAAUCUCUGUUGUCUCUUUACAUAGAAUUCAAGCAUGUAGACUUUUUGUUGUAUGCUUAUUCAUGGCCCAGCGUAAUGAGAAGUGGUCCAGGGUAUAGCCUUCUAGGAUUUGCGGUAAUGCAAAUAAAUAAUAACGAAUAUUCAUUGGGUACUGCAGCAUAGCUGUUGGAUUCUGCUGAGCCUUGAGUCACAUGCUGAUGCAGAAAUAAGGUGUUCCAAAUAGAGGCCUCACAAAAGGGAGAGAAGUGAGUUUCAGCCAACAUAGAAAAUACUGGCAUCUCAGAGGUCUUCUCAGCUGUCAAACCCAAGUCAGUUGCUACUGGCAUUGUGUCCAGAAAGCAUCUCUUUAUCUUCUCCACAGCAGUAACAGUAGACUCUUCCUUCUCAGAGGAAGUUAAUGUGAGUAUUACAAAAUUCUCCAGUGUAUAUGAGAGAUUGAAGGACUUUAUAUACUUCCAUAGUGUCCUUCUGCUCCUUAGUGCAUUCCCUUCCUGACACAGCAUCUAUUGGCACAGAAAUCUUGAAUAACCACAGGCCAUUCUGUUGGUCAGUCCUUGUCAAAUGACUCUUGGUUCUCUGCUGAGAAGGAACCUGCACUAGUUUUGAUUCAGUAUCUAGGUACAUUGCUACCUCAUAUUGCUCUGUUUCCCUGAUACCUUGAAGAUAAUGAUUCUUCAGAAGAGUGGUAAGCAUGAAUCGCAACAGCAAUUCCUCAGGUAUGUCACUCUCUUUCUGGAAGUGGGUCUGCAUGUAUCCCUUUUCCUUCUUUUAAAGUGACACCAAAAUAUCAGUGUACAAAUGAUAACAGAGAUGAUGAAAUGUUAGUGCCUUGCUGAUAGAGAGAUGAUAGAUUGGUCUAUUGGUCUUUAUAAUGCUACCUAGUCAAAGAAGUUACAUUUAUCAGACUAAACCAUAAAAUAUAAUUGCAAACAGUUCCAGAUCUGAAUAGGAGUUGCCUGGCAAGAGCUCUGAAUGAACUGACAAGGUGGACACAGUGACUGUGAAAUACUGCAGGGGGCUGGGGUGGCCAUACAACCGAGAAGCAUGAUAAUAACAAGAGUUUUCAGUUUUCAAACUAUGGUCUGGAUAAGCUUAACAUUAGGCCAUCAUGCAUAAGCUGUGUUUUUAACUACUAUCCAGAACUAACUUUUGGGCAAACUAUCUAGAGAUUCCAGUAAAACAAGGACAGCUCUUGAUUUAAUUUAGAUUCAUACACAGGACUUGGUUGACGAAGUAACCGUAGGAAAGACACUAGGUAGUGGCACACCGUAUUAAACUGAAGUUUGUCACAUUUAUAUGAGAGAAAAAGGUAAAAAUAAAUAAACAACCCAGUAUUGUUUAACUGUAGAAAGGAAUUGCAUAUGAAUGAAGAAAUUGUUCGAGUAAAAAUUAUAAGAGGCUGUGAGAGACACAGAGUGUUUGUUUUCUAAUUCUGACCCAACUGAAUAAGAAUUAGUGACAAGUGAGCAGUAAGGGAAGUUACUAGGAAUAAAUUGAUGCUUUUCAAAAAGUGAAAUCCAAACAAGAAACAAGAGCCCAGUUCUGGGAAGUUAAAUAUAGACCUAUUGUAAUGAGGGACAAAAAGAUUUUGAGGAGCAAUAGGCUAAAAUCAUAAAAGCAAAAAGUAAAAGCUAUAAGCAUAAAUUUUUCAGUUAAUUCUGCUAGCAGGACACUGAGUUCAAGAGACAGAAUAUCUAAAGGCAAAGCCAUUGAAGAAAGGAACAUAUGGACAAACCCUUGCAUUGGCAGAGUUUAUUCCAGGGAGAUUAGGAACAGUCCCAUAUAAAAGUUGUUCUUUAUAAGUAUUUCAAUUUUUACAUUGCAAUAAAAGAUUUUUGAACAACUUGAUUAAGGAGGCAUUAGCAGCUUGCCGGGCAGCACAUUGUUCCGUCAGUAGUUCUAGAGAAAUUCAGAAAUGAAACUGCUUAUCUGUGAACUGUGUUGUAUAAUCUAUCAUUUAAAUUGGUGCUGAUGACAGAGGAAUGGAAAGCAGCAAAUGUGACCAUUUUAAAAAGGUCUCCAGGGAUGAUCAUGGACUAAUGUACUAAUAAGUCUGACUUCCAUGGCAGGCAAAAUGCCAGUGAAUGUGAUAAAGAAUAUAAUUAAUAGGAGCACUUGUGGCUAUAAUAGGAAACCAUCACCUUGACUUCUUGUACAAGGUAGUUUUGUCUUAUGGCUUUGUUUAUUAUUUGAUGCAGUAAACAGUUUUGGGUCACCCAAAAAGCUUUUUAGAAGGUCUGUCACCAAAGAAAGUUAAUGCAGUGAAGUGUUGAGAUACAUAAGAUUCCUUGUUGAUUAAUAAACAGUUACAAGAUAAAGAAGACUAUAGCAACUAAUGGGCCACCUCCUCCCAGCAAUUGUACUGGUACCUUUUCUGGUCCUCCUGUUCCUAAAUGGUAUGAAAGAGUGCAGUGAUAAUGCUUAGAGAUAAUAAAAAGCUACUGUGCCUUUGGUGUUAGAGCUGACGUUGCCCUGAAGAGUUGCAGGAGGAUCUCACAGCACGGGCUGUGUUGCUGCAGGAGCCACUGCUGUCCCAGAGGCCAGGUAUGGCUGACCCACUGUUAAACCAGACCUGUCAGCAGAAAGGGUCAUCACCUCAUCAUCUGCCAGCUCUACAGGUUGCAGCCAGACCUGCUGUUCAGGAAGGCAGGGACUUGCAACUGCUCUCUACAGGGACCACAACUUGGAAGUUCUACUUCCCUAUUUUUUAGGGUUUCACAGCCUUAGGUGAGCUUGAAAUACAGAGUUGGAUCCUUGAAUUCCGGCCUGCUACAGGGGUAAAGCUUAAUUGUUAAGCUGAUGGGUGCUGUAUGGCUGCUGUGAAAAGCCUGGGUUCUGGAGCCUUUUCCUAAUGUUCGUGUGGUUUUUUAUCAGCUCCUGUUGAUUUCCUGAAAUCAUUGUGGAUGGACUAGAUGCAAAAUGGUACUUGAAACAAAGGAAUCAUGCUGGUAUACAAAUCGGUUUUGAGCACUGAUGAGAAUUAUAUACAAUAUAGACAUGGGUGAUGAAGAUAUGGCAUAGCUAUUGUGCAGGGGCAGUAAGUGAAUGAGGAUUCUUCAUUUUGUUGGCUGAAGAGUAAUAACAUAGGAAAGAUCUCUAAAACCAUUAAUAUGUGGAAGUAUUUAAUAGGAGACUCUAACUCUCUAUUUCUAAGAAUAGAAAAACAGGGAGCCCUUGGCCACUGUUUUCUGUAUCCUAGGUGACCUCUGAGAUAGCAGAAGAUACCAGUUUAAUCUGCCAUAGUUUUGUGGCACAAAACUGCACAUCUCUGUUUGUCCCAGACCAGCCAUGGCCAAAAUCCAACCUGUGUAGAAUUACAGCUUUUCUGUAAAUAGAAGUUUGUAGGCCUUGUUGUCUGAUGAUAAAUUUUCAAGUAUGAAUCAAAUGUAAAUUGGUCCCUUCUUCCUAAACCUGAAGAUAUAUAUAUGUAUACUCAUAGAUAUUUAAACUAUGCUUCUGUCUAUUCCUUUGUCUGGCAGUAAUAAUGUUAUGGUCAUAUUGGCCUUACUUCUUCUGCUUACAGAUGUAUGGGUAGAGGAUAAUGCCAGUUUGCUGCUGCUUCAGAAAGCCAGAAGCAAAUAGCAGGUCCUAAAAUAAGUCUCAGGGGAAAUCAGAUAGAGGAGCAGAAAUGUUUAACACAGCAACCAGAAGGUCUGGAGGGAGGGAGAGAGAAGAGAACAUCAUUGUAUUUCUGAAAUGGCAGGAAUAGUUUCCAAGCUGUGGUCCACUAACACCUGAUGGGCUAUAAGGCUAUGGUAAGUUGAACUGCUGCUUUUUUAAUUGCUGCCUUUCCUGAGUAUCACUAAUAAUCUUUCCUCCUCUUCCUUUCCAUCUGCACUCAUGAAUAGUGGAUUUAGUGGCCUGAGAAGUGAGGACUGGGUCCCCGUCGCACAAAGAUUAGACUUCCCAUCUUAAUCAAAUGAAAAUAUAUGUACAUCUUUGAAUGCUUAUCUGAUUUUCUAUCAAUAUUAACAGAUGCAAACUUUUCUUAUGAAUAUUAGUAUCUCUUAUUACAGAUAAGUUUAUUACUCUAAAAAAUUCCACUUCUAUUUAACCACGCUCUUUAAUUUAUAUAAGCUCCCUGGGUGGUAAUUUUACAUGGCAAAAACCUUUCUCUUCCUCCCAUCAAGCCUCUUAUUAUUAAUAAUAAUAUUAUCCAUAUUGACAAUUUUCCAGAAUCAUAAUGCAUUUAUGUUAGCUAUGCUUUCAGUUGCCCCAAUGUAAGUUACUUUGUGUUGUCACAAAUACCAUACAAGCACAUCCAUAAAUAAUUUGCAGAGAUUACAUCUUUUCCAACAUAUUGCACAUCUUUUUAGUAAUCACAGUGGUGUUGAAGUGGAGACAUGCCAAAUUAGAAACCUUAUUCAAAUGGCAUAAAUGUGUUUAUCCUAAAGAAGUCUAUUGUCUAAUCUAAAGUUAGAUUGUAGCAUAUGUAUUAUAUGAAAUGUAAGCAAAAUACUACUGGAAACAAAAGUUACAGUAACAGUAUUCUAAGGGCAUUCAAGUAGUUUGUCAGGCGAGCAUGCUCUGUGUAACCCUUUCUUGUCGCAUCUUUCUUGUUCUUUUGAUACAUACAUAGGAAAUGAGUUUUGUGAAUCCUUUUAUAUUAUUGUCGUUAAUAUUAUAUUAUUAUUACUGAAUGUCUCUUGCUGACUGAUACGAUUCUGCAGUUAUUUUCAGUGUUCUAAUAUGUAUAGCUCAUAUGGUUGGUUUGUCUUAUUCACACGCACAGGGCUAAGCUGGGUACGAGGUCAGGAGAAAAUCUUUGCCUUGUAUCAGAAACAUACAAGGGAGGAAAGUGCUUUUCUACCCUUGUAACAUGGAAAAAUGUUAUUUACCAGUGUCAUCUAGGGGUGACAGGAGACAGGGAUACAUAUGCCUACAAGUAAGGCAUAUGGGUAGAGAAGCAGUGAUGGGGUAUACGGGUAGGACUGAAGAUCAGUGUGUGGGAGUAAAGAUUUAGGGGCAAAGGUCAGAACAGGAUUCUUGUAGGACCUGGAGAGGUCACAGCUGGAUAAAGGCACUGGGGUCAGCUGGAAGUAAGUACCCCAGACGUGGCUACAGCUCUGCCACAUGCUCAUUGCACACUAUCCCUGUCUGUUCUCUCCCCUGCAUCUUCUGCAAUCCCAGCUUCUUGUCUGAUUGUGAACUGGAAACCUUACUUUCCUGCUUACUCCAAAAACAAGGACACACAAGUACAAAAGGCCCCUCAAACCCCUCCCUUUGGAAGCCUCUUACUGCUCUUUCUUCUGCCUUCUGCCUACGGGAUUCUGCAGUGUAGGUACAGCCAGGUGAGAAGUGGGUGCUGGGAGCAAAAUAAUGCCUCUGCUUCACCAGAUAGUUUGCAUCCUCUCCAAGUGGGAUGUAUCCCAUCAUUUGAAAUCUGCUCAUGAAAGAAGAGUUCUUUCAUUCUUUUCCCCCUGUUCAUUACAGUGUGACAAUUUUUUUUCUUCUGCAUGGUGAAACAGAGUUUUUUGAUGUUUGUCUUACCAAAAAAGCAGAACAGUUCAAGAUUUCUAGAGCCUUAUCUCUUGUAAUUCACAAUUCUUUGUGAUCUAGGACCUUCUUAAGUAAAAAAUAAUAAAUCUAGUGGACGAUUGCACCUAUUGCUGACACGCCGAGGCCUUCUGACAGUAUAUUUUAAUUACUGCUUUGCAGCCCCCUUAAAAAUUGUUCAUGAAACCUCAAGAGCCUGCGGAGAGAUUGAGAGCCACUUUCUAAGGGGUUAUCUUUAAAUGCAGGUUACUGUGUUGGUGGUUUUUUUAGAUUCAGGUGUUGGGUUUUUUGUUUUUUGUUUUUUUUGUUUUUUCUCUUAUCCCAUCUGUGAAACGCCAAGUGUUGAUAACCAUCUGUGAAACACCUUUUGAUGUAAUGGCUGUGACACUGCUUUAGAAAUCUUGUGAAAUAGAUUGCGUGGUUAGAAGAGCUGGCAUCUGAAAAUGUAUGUCAUGGGCACAGGUAACUGUUAUAGGGGAAAAAUAACUUGAUUUGUGUACAAAACGCUGGUCUUUUUAGCUUUCUGAAGUCUCUAAGCAUCUUCCUGUAUGCUCGUUGUAAAGUAUUUAAAGAUACAAGUCAUUGCAUUUCUGAAGUAUUCAGUGCAUCGUUUAAAAUGACUACCAAAGGAGAGAGGUGGAUUAGCUUCACAUAACAGCUAAGCAUAAAAGUAAUGAUUCAGAAAUAAUCAUGUGGUUCCAGAUCAGUACAAAUCAUUUUGUUUUUCUGUAUGAGCAGAGCUCUGCACAGAACCGUGAUCUCAUUCUACCUUAUCAGAUUACAGUCACCUACAUAGGUUUUCAGAACUAAACUUUAUUCUGGUGAUUUUGUAACUGUAUGCAGAAAAAGUGGGAAAUUAAACACUUAAAAUUUAAGUAAUCGCUCUUUAUCUGUGCUAAAAGAUUGCAUACACAAGCUUAGUAUUUCCUCCUGGGACUGGAUCUAUAGUCCUUCAAGUUCUGCAGUUAGAGGGAAUGUGAAGGUGAAUAAGGAGAAGCAAAUGUGAAAGGAAAAAAAGCAGAUGGAGAGGAGGAAAUUUCCCUUCCUUUACAGAAGGAAGGGCAAGAUGAAAGACAGUGUAAUGAGCACAGGAGUAACAGGGUGAAAAGGGAGGAAUAAUGUGUAGUGUUCAGUUAUGUUAUGCUUUGUAUUUGUAUGGAAGACAGAUUGAGACCUCAGCUUUCUGACUAUCUGCUGUGCCGAGCCACACUAUAAACCAUGUGCAUUUUUGCCUUAGUGUGGUUGCUUCCAAAGGCAGCUUGAAACUAUCUUUCUGAGGCAACCUAAAUCACAGAGUGCAUCAUUCUGCUAGAAAAUAAUGUCUUCCCCAAUGUUCUGUCUUCCCCAAUGUUCUGUUUUCCUAAUCUCGCCAUCUAAAAACACUGCUGGAAACACAGAUAAUAAAAAAGCCAGCUAUAUGUACAUUUGCUGUUGUUAAUUCCACUCACUGGCAUUUGGGGCAGGGGAUGGGUAUGCAAAAAGGCUGAAAUACAUAACAGCGGCAAAAAUUCUGUGCAAAACUUUGUUGUAAUAAUGAUGGAAGUGAAAAUUGGCCUCGUUUUUCAAGUUGGUUUUUUUUUGUGUCAAGCUCUUGUUCACACCGUGUUUGAGGCUCUACAUUCUAGAUGGAUCACUAAUAGCCAAUACUUUAUAUACUGUCCUCAAAGAGCAAUAUGAAAUACAAGUGACUGUCUAAAUCAAGAAGAGGUUUAGCCAUCUCUACAUCAGUUUGUCAAAACUUAAAUGGAAAGUGAGACCAAAUGCAAAACAAUAUUAAAUUAUAUUAUCAAAAUGUGAGUACACAAGCUAACUGCUAGUUUUUCAUCAUUUAACUGGACUAGGCAAAGUCACUUUGUAAGCAAAUGUAGGUAUAGAUCAACAGAAUACUCACAUGAGCCUUCAUUACAGGUGAGCCUUCAUCAGCACAUGGAUUUCAUCCAUAAUCUGUAAUAAAAUAGCAUCAAUUAGGAAGAUGGCAAAGAAGUUUUAAUUGAUUAGUUUCUUCUUUUAUGUCUGCAUGUUUCUAAAGAGUAUAUAAGGCCUUAUAGCAAAUAGGGAAAGUAUGGGGUUUUUUUAAUUGCACAAUUAAUAUUUAUAUAGCGACUAGUUCUAAUCUUCUUGAGUUGUAAUGCUUAUUUUUAAAUACACCUCCCAUUUUCUUACAUUCACUUGGUGCUAUGCAUAAAAACACCUUAGCUGUCCACCUGAGCAUGACUUCAGUGUCACUGAGCCCUAAGCUGAUGCACAGCAGAGUGCAUCCCUGCAAAACCAGGGACAGAAAUGGGUGUUGCAGGGACAGCACUUGUGGUGCCAAUUCACAGUUAAUUUUUGGGUAGUAAAAUCUACUUCUUGGAAGGUAGAACAGCUCAGUAUUAAUUUCUACUAAUAAAAAGAUACAGGCCUUCAUAAGGAUUACACUACAAGUUGCUGCGCUGCAGGAUUUGUUUUCACAUGUAGUGUCUGUGCCAUUGCACAGGAGAAUCUGGACAGCGGUCAGUAAGGACAUCCAGUAACGGUAAGAAGACUGAAAAGCUGAUGUAACUGCUCUGUUAAGUCGAAAAGGAAAUUGAAAUUAAUAGCAGACACAACUUUGAGAAGUUGUAGAUAACAGAUUUCAUACUGUAUGUUAUAUUUAACCGCUACCAUUGUGUUGUUUUUCAUUAGCGUUGUACUAUUUUCCAUCAAAAGUCUGCAGUUCUUUAGAUAAUGCAAACCCUUCAGUGCAGAAUCAUACUUCAAGCGGGGUAAUAUUUAGGUUUUAAAGAUAUAUUCUUAAUUGCACUGACAGCUCUGUGUAUUCCUUAUAUAAUAAGCAGGAUUGGGGUGAGUGUAUCCUGAAAUAGCCAUUAAAAGCAUAGUAUGUGCAGGACCAUUACAUGCGUGGAUCUCCAAGAAUUGCAUAGUCCCAGGAUUAUAUCUCAGACUUGCUAUGCAAAAAAGUGCACACUGUGAACACUGGGGUGUAUUGCAGAUUCACCAGAGCUCCCUUUCCCAUCCUCUUUUCUUACAUUUUAAGCUUUGGCACUGCAGUUCUCUAAGAGCAGUGUCUUCCUUUUGCAUCAGGGCUGGGAAUCUGGUGAAGAUUGUCCCUUCAGACUUGCUCCUGGAGCUUCUGCACACUGAUAGGACUAUGUGUCACCCUUGACUUUUGUCUUUAAUUAUGACUCAUUUAAACUAACCAUUAAAAUCUAAGUAUCAAUGUGCUAUGGGGUAUGGUUUAGUAGUUUAGUGGUAGUAAUGGUGACAGGAGGACGGUUGGCCUAGAUGAUCUUCUAGGUCCUUUCCAACCUCGUGAUUCUAUGAUCCUAUUUGUGAUUAAUCACUGAAUUUAGUGGCAAAUUAUUGAAAUAUCAGCAGUGCCAUUUUAAAUAUCAUAUACUUGUGCUAUUUCCUGAAUCACAUUCUUAAUGUUGUGAACAGAGAAUCCCAGUCAUGCCAAGCUUUGACUUCAGGAGUUAAGCUUAAGGCCCUAGUAGUACAUAGAUAUGCCUAACAGAAGAGCAAACUUUCUUUGACUGGAUCAGAUUUAUUUUUUGGUGCUCAACAUAUUAAUGUUUGUUAAUAAUAAUUAAACAACGGCAGCAACAAAAACCCAUGCUACAAACCAUACUGCAUGUUCUAUGCAGAUAAAAGCUGUUAGUAAAUUUUUCUUGUUCAGAAUAAAGAAAGUUGAAAACGUGCUCUCUUUCAUAUUGCUUUAAUCCUGGUGUCAUUGUCUGUAAGUAUUCAGCGCAUCUAUGCUUGCAGAAACCUAAAGAACUUCAUGAAAUUAAUAACAUUCCAAAGACGUGGUUCAGAGUAUGAGAUCUAAGCCUUAGGAUGGGAUGAAUCGCCCUCUGGAGGUGCCCGUUUCAGUCUACUGGCUUCACAGGAAUCCUGCCUUGAACUGCUUAGCUUAAACUAAAAGUUAAGUGAGUGGAUUGUCACCAGAGGAGAGGAAUAACUAAGCUAUACUGGGUCUUUUCUGUAGACCUUUCUAUUUGUUAGGAAUAGCUACCUUAUUCCUCACCUCUAUUUGCCACUGUUGUUCUUGUACCAUUUAUAAAAUGAAUAAGUACAAUUGUUGCUGUCACUAUUUCCUGUGUAUUUCCUGUUUCUUUGUUUUCUUUUCCUGUCCUUUUUUAUCUUAUUAUCUUAUCUUUCUCUAUCUUUUUUAUCUUUCCCUGACUUGUUCUAGCUACCAUCUCUUCUGAAACUUCUCAUUCGCUCCCUCUCUGACCAUCCCGCCUCCCGUCCUGAGAGCACUGUCCUAACUUGUGAUCUGGAUGACUGCUGGCCAUUUCCUCUGAUGCUGAUAUCAGUAUUUUCUGUGAGAGACAGUACUGUAGUGAAGAGACAGAACAAGAAGAAGAUGGCACUGCCGUGAUUUUAUUUUUGUACGGUUUGGAAUCAUCUAGAAGUAUUGCUGUGACUACAAAUUAAGUGCACUGGUUUCCUAACAAACUUGUCAUUUAAAGAUGUUUGUAGAAAUGUAAAAUCAAAUGUGAACUGCAUUAAAGUCAUUUAAAUUUAACAAAA
Molecule: non-coding RNA, 10855 nt
Organism: Coturnix japonica (Japanese quail)
Lineage: Eukaryota; Metazoa; Chordata; Aves; Galliformes; Phasianidae
Source: RefSeq, a predicted model, not a curated record